Long non-coding RNA from Peromyscus leucopus (white-footed mouse), 1131 nucleotides. RefSeq lists it as uncharacterized. The transcript is spliced from 2 exons. Lineage: Eukaryota; Metazoa; Chordata; Mammalia; Rodentia; Cricetidae. The record is from RefSeq and is a predicted model, not a curated record.
CAUGCUUGUUGACCGCACAUCUACAAGGAAUAGAUUCCUUUUUUUUUUUGUUUGGAAUUUUAGUCCUGACAGCCAGCACCCCUCUCCAUUUAGCACCCUACAGCUCCUCCGUAUUCUCCAUGGCUUUGCUAACAUCACCUCCUUAGCAUUCUUCUGGACCUCCGAGGCGAGCUGAGGACAGUAACAAAAUCCCACCCCAGUGCAGCUGGUGAACCAAUGAAUUUAACUGAGGUCCGUGACAACUUAGGGGCAGAUACUCAUAAGACGGUAGUGCCAUGGAGUGAAGCUAUUGCUGUGAGUCAACCGUUACGGAGGGCAGCCAGUGAUGCGCAGGAUGCGGACCGAAUAUUGAUGUUUGAUGGCCUUCCAAAUGGAGCGCAAUCGCACUCUCAAAGAGCAUAGGUUUUAAAAGAAAACCUAUCUGUUAUCAAAGGGGCUUGAAAAACACGCAAUUGGAAAACAAAGAAAACCACUAACAAAGGGGGUCCGGGUAAGGGAACAGAGUCCGGCAAGCUGGAAAAAAAUCAGACAGAGGCUCCUGAGGUGGCGGAGAGAGCAUGGGUAGCGUUCCUCGGAGUACCAAGAAUAAAACAAAUCCAUUUACAGUGAGGAGGCAGGGGAAGUGAUUUAAUUAAGAAUUCAGUCAAAGAUGGAGGAGCAGGAGGAAGGCAGUAGGGUGGGUGGGGCAUGAUUUGGGUAUUGUAAACAUAAGGAAACUUGUGGCUUGUGGAGCUUGGUGGGGCACUUACUUAAAUGGAAAGGCAGAUGGUUGGGUCACUAAAAGAAGCCGAAGGAUUUAGAAGAAGGGGUUUGAAACACUGACCUCCCCCACCUGCCCUCCCCAGCAACACACAAACGAUAAAGUUAUGUAGUGUUGGCCUUUGGGGGGUUUAAUGGAGAGUAGUCAGUCCUGAAACCAUAUACGAACAACAAAGACAGACUCCGUAAGUUCUAUUUAUAUGUAUUUGUGUGUACAGAUACAUACAUACAUGUACAUAUGUUACAAUAAUAAAGAAAAUGAGGCUAUCAACACGGGGUGUGGGUUUGAGGGAGGAUAGCUGGGAUGACCUGGAGGGAGGGAAGAGGAAUGUAAUUCUGUUUCAACUAAAAAUAUAUUUAAAAACAAACUAA